CCUGACGCAGCCAUGCCGCGUGAGUGACGAAGGCCUUAGGGUUGUAAAGCUCUUUCGCUAGGGAAGAUAAUGACUGUACCUAGUAAAGAAGCCCCGGCUAACUCCGUGCCAGCAGCCGCGGUAAUA
This 126-nucleotide ribosomal RNA is filed under the name uncultured bacterium. Its description in RNAcentral is "partial 16S ribosomal RNA". It matches the Rfam family "Bacterial small subunit ribosomal RNA", at positions 382 to 525 of the family's 1533-position model. The record is from RNAcentral.